RNAcentral lists this ribosomal RNA (486 nucleotides) under uncultured bacterium. RNAcentral describes it as "bacterial SSU rRNA". It matches the Rfam family "Bacterial small subunit ribosomal RNA", at positions 775 to 1260 of the family's 1533-position model. The record is from RNAcentral.
AGUCAAUAGAUACCCCGGUAGUCCACGCCGUAAACGAUGAAUACUAGGUGUAGGGGUUGUCAUGACCUCUGUGCCGCCGCUAAACGCAUUAAGUAUUCCGCCUGGGGAGUACGGUCGCAAGAUUAAAACUCAAAGGAAUUGACGGGGGCCCGCACAAGCAGCGGAGCAUGUGGUUUAAUUCGAAGCAACGCGAAGAACCUUACCUAGACUUGACAUCUCCUGAAUUACUCUGUAAUGGAGGAAGCCCUUCGGGGCAGGAAGACAGGUGGUGCAUGGUUGUCGUCAGCUCGUGUCGUGAGAUGUUGGGUUAAGUCCCGCAACGAGCGCAACCCUUAUUGUUAGUUGCUACCAUUAAGUUGAGCACUCUAGCAAGACUGCCCGGGUUAACCGGGAGGAAGGUGGGGAUGACGUCAAAUCAUCAUGCCCCUUAUGUCUAGGGCUACACACGUGCUACAAUGGCUGGUACAGAGAGAUGCUAAACCGCGA